UAGCUAGUUGGUGAGGUAAAGGCUUACCAAGGCGACGAUCUGUAGCGGGUCUGAGAGGAUGAUCCGCCACACUGGAACUGAGACACGGUCCAGACUCCUACGGGAGGCAGCAGUGGGGAAUUUUGGACAAUGGGGGCAACCCUGAUCCAGCCAUGCCGCGUGAGUGAAGAAGGCCUUCGGGUUGUAAAGCUCUUUCGGCCGGGAAGAAAUCGCAUGGGCCAAUACCCUGUGUGGAUGACGGUACCGGAAUAAGAAGCACCGGCUAACUACGUGCCAGCAGCCGCGGUAAUACGUAGGGUGCGAGCGUUAAUCGGAAUUACUGGGCGUAAAGCGUGCGCAGGCGGUUUUGUAAGACAGGCGUGAAAUCCCCGGGCUUAACCUGGGAACUGCGUUUGUGACUGCAAGGCUAGAGUACGGCAGAGGGGGGUGGAAUUCCACGUGUAGCAGUGAAAUGCGUAGAGAUGUGGAGGAACACCAAUGGCGAAGGCAGCCCCCUGGGUCGAUACUGACGCUCAUGCACGAAAGCGUGGGUAGCAAACAGGAUUAGAUACCCUGGUAGUCCACGCCCUAAACUAUGUCAACUAGGUGUUGGGUGGGUAAAACCAUUUAGUACCGUAGCUAACGCGUGAAGUUGACCGCCUGGGGAGUACGGCCGCAAGGUUAAAACUCAAAGGAAUUGACGGGGACCCGCACAAGCGGUGGAUGAUGUGGAUUAAUUCGAUGCAACGCGAAAAACCUUACCUACCCUUGACAUGCCAGGAACUUGCCAGAGAUGGCUUGGUGCCCGAAAGGGAGCCUGGACACAGGUGCUGCAUGGCUGUCGUCAGCUCGUGUCGUGAGAUGUUGGGUUAAGUCCCGCAACGAGCGCAACCCUUGUCGUUAAUUGCCAUCAUUUGGUUGGGCACUUUAACGAGACUGCCGGUGACAAACCGGAGGAAGGUGGGGAUGACGUCAAGUCCUCAUGGCCCUUAUGGGUAGGGCUUCACACGUCAUACAAUGGUCGGUACAAAGGGUUGCCAAGCCGCGAGGCGGAGCCAAUCCCAGAAAGCCGAUCGUAGUCCGGAUUGCAGGCUGCAACUCGCCUGCAUGAAGUCGGAAUCGCUAGUAAUCGUGGAUCAGCAUGUCACGGUGAAUACGUUCCCGGGUCUUGUACACACCGCCGUCACACCAUGGGAGCGGGUUCCGCCAGAAGUAGGUAGCCUAACCGCAAGGGGGGCGCUUACCACGGCGGGGUUCGUGACUGGGGUGAAGUCGAAACAAGGUAGCCGUAGGGGAACCUGCGGCUG
Molecule: ribosomal RNA, 1286 nt
Filed under: metagenome
Description: bacterial SSU rRNA
Rfam family: Bacterial small subunit ribosomal RNA
Source: RNAcentral